Molecule: long non-coding RNA, 4354 nt
Filed under: Equus caballus (horse)
Lineage: Eukaryota; Metazoa; Chordata; Mammalia; Perissodactyla; Equidae
Description: lncRNA (ENSECAG00000050662.1)
Source: RNAcentral
GAGACAGAGAGAGACAACACAGAAGACACCACGAUCAAUACUUGGAGGAGGUCAUAUGGAAGUCUAUUCGCAGGAGAAUAUUUGAAGUAUUCGAACUAUGGGUGUCAUCGUCCAAGACUGAGUGCCGGGCCCAUUGUGCGGAAGGAGAAUUAAUUCCUGUUCUCUUCGGGGUCUCAGCUGAGGCAGCUCCUCCUCCAGAAACUGGCACUGACCCUUCUUAGCCUCUCUCAUCCUCCCCGGGGCAAGGUGAGGUCUCAGACAGCAGAGGAAGCAGGAAUACGGCUGAACUGUCUUCAACAAAAUCUUUGCCGAUAAGACUUGGGGGAGUUUCCAGACACUUUCCUACGACUGUUCCAGCUGAGAACAUUGGGCUGAGCUCCCGUGACUCAGCCGCGGAAAGCCGGGGCCACUGAAGGUUCCCAGGAAGCCAGGGGGCACGCACGUCUUCCUCCAGCCAGGACAGGAAGUCACAGGCAGCCUCAGCGUCCUCAGAGCCUCCUUGCAGAGGGGACCAGCAGAAGGGUCUGAAGAAUGAACACUGUCCCCGGGGUGAGAGGCCCCGUCUAGAAGCACCAUCCUGUCCCUUUGCCAUGACUUCCGAUCUACAGGAAACCUCAGGCAUGGGCUUAGAGAGCGGGCCCUGGGUCAGAGUCCCAGCAGAGUGACGACCCAGCGAGGCAGCCUCUCCGAGCUUUGGGGUCCUCUCUGCAAAGUGGGGAGGGGAGUGGUACCUCCAUCAGAGGGCUGAUGUGAGAGUGAAAGAAUCAGUCUCCACGUGCUGACCAACGCCCCCCCCCCCCCCCCAGCACCUCCCACCGAGCAGGUGCCUGGCAGUAGCAGCUAUUGUUUUUCCAGCGAAGGAAGGAAAACACUGAGCGAGCUCCCAGCUGGGGUGGCCCCGUGUCCAGCCGAGUCCUCGCGGAGCAGCACGUCCUACAGGAGGCUCGGAGCGCGUGGCCUGAAGGCCGGUCUCUGCAGGAAGGCCUGGGCGCCGGAGCCCAUUGUGUUGCCGCCUGCGUGUUUUGCCUGGGCAAGCUGGAAGGGCAUGACCCCAGGACGUUGUCUCGAGGGGACUGCUCCUCCAGAGGUCAGACUGGGGCUGCUUUCUUACUCACUGUGGGCCUUCACUUUGAGAAACUUCUGGGCACGUUGUAUGAGGGCUCACGAGCUCCACGGCCCCCUCUGCUCCUCCCCUCACCGUUUUUUUUGGCAGAACCUGAGGCAGAUGGAAAAUUCGUGCUCAGGUGAAGAAAGAUGGGUAAUGUCUUAGAUAAUAUCUUUGCUUGUCUGACUUUAAAGUGUGUCAAAGAAAGGCCAAAUGGCCUCAAAUUGGUAAUAAAUGCCUUUUAAGUGUGGCCACAUCCUCUUGCCAAGUCAGCAGGCAUCUAUUAAGCUGUACGUGUUUGAAGAGUGGGGCCCAUGAAGCCCUGUGGACAGAAAGGCCUAGGGAGCUAACGGUGAAGAAACGAAAGCUUCAACAGGAGAGGGGGCGUUCUGAAGAUUAUCAGCCGGCUGCGGGGCCUCAAACCAAACCUCAUCUUUGGCUUAUUCUCUCUCCUCCUCCUCCUCUUUCUACUGGCCACCCUGUGGUGUUGCUGGUGUGGUCCCAGGCAACAUGAGAACCCCAAGAAUUAAGGAGAACACCUUCUGCCUUUCAGGAACUUUCCUUCUGUUCGAGAAGCCAGCAGGCUAAAGGGCCAGCAGAGACUCUUAACAGCACGCCCAGGAGAAAGCCGAGGGCUUCACGCGAGAUGCCCAUGUCCUGGCUCCACAUCCUGGGAAGGCCCACACUCCCCACCUGUGGGACCUGGAACAAGUGAACCGCACCUCCUGGAGCCCAGUUCCUGGUCCAUAGGACUGGCUCUUAGGGCUCCCGUGGAAGCGCUUAGUACAGAGCCUGGUACAUACUAGUGCUCAAUAAAGAGAAGCAAAAAUAAAUCCUGGUCCUACCCAAAGGCCACCUCUCCCUCUUACCCUUCCCCGUGGGUACCCUGUCAUUCGCAGUGUGGAUUUACAUCUGUUUUCACCUUCAGUUCUCAUAAGAGCCUUCGAAUGCAACCUGCGAAGAUUCUGGGUAAAUAAUUCGUUGAAUACGUGGCUACCUGGGGGCGUGAAUAGUAAAACUGAGAGGCACAGAGCACUUACGAUCCGCCAGGGCUGUUGAAGGCCUUUCUCUAUUCCGUGUCACUUACACUAUACACGUGUUCUACCUGCAUGACGACUCCGUGAGCUGGGCACCACCAUCAGCCCCACUUCACAGACACAGAAACUGAGGGCCAGAAGGCAUGAAGUCACUUGCCUGAGGUCAUAUAGGUAGGAUAUAAUUUAGGUGAGCAGGAAGCCAGGGAAGCUGGCUCCGGAGUUUGGGCUCCUACGCAGAACACUGUACUCACUGACUGACUGACUGACUGAAUGAAUGAAUGAAUAAUGAAGGAAUGAACACGGAGGUCAGGUAAGGCUCCAUUUUAUGGAUACUGACGCUGAGGCUGACAGCACAUAACUGACUUGCCCGAGGCCACACAGUUGCCUUAGUGGGGAUGUGGCCUCACAUGGCAGGAGUCCACUUCCUGAAGUUAGGUGCAGCCACGUGACUUGCUUUGUCCAAUGAAAUGUGAGUGGAAGUUGCACAGAGCACUUCCUGAGAGAAGCUUUAAGAACUUGCCACAUUUCUUAGAAGCAUAUGUUGAAAUGAAGCCUCUGUCUGCCUGGGUCACAAGUGCGUACCAGUGACAGCAGUAAGUGAGAAAUACACUUUUAUUGUGUUAAGGCACUGAGAUUGCGGGGAGGGGGGGGCGGGGUGGUUGUUACCACGGCAGAACCUGGCUUCUCUUGAUCAACACAGGUGGAACUAAGCCUGAGAGCUUGGGGGAUGAAGGGCCUCCGGCAACUCUGGUUGCGUUACCUGACCCCAGUCCACCACGCUCCCCCAGGGGGUUUUAUCUGCCGUUGCCUCCCCCACACCCCCAGCCCCAUCUCGGGCUGAAUGAGCGGGAUCAUUUAUGGCAUGAAAGGAGACAGCUGCAGAAUUCCAGCUCCUGACAGAAGGCGGUGGACAGACACUGACAGCUCGGCUCUGUGGUCUGGACGCCACACCCUCCCUCCCACAACGGCUGUCUUGUGUCGGUUUUUCUUGGUGAAGAGCGUCCUGCAUAGAGAGUGAGCUCUUCAGACGUAUUGAGAUUGGCAACAGGAUCUCCUAAAGCAGAAAAUGUAAAGUCGGGUUUAAUUAACCAGAUCUGUAGCUGACUGAUUUUUCUAAAAGGUUGUAAAGAGUUUUAAGAACAAUUAGUCACUUAAGAGGCUCAUCACUUUCUGUUAGGCAGAUACAUUAACAAUAAAACAAUUGAUACUGACAUCAAAAAUCCUCCACUAAUUUUUCAAAACAGUCUUGAUUGGAUGAACCCAACUAGAAUGUUUAAAAAGCAGUUUCAACACGCCGAGAGGACCCCUCCUUAUAUUUAACUACUGAGAGAAGAUUAUACAAAAGAGGACCAGGAUUUUAGAGACUGACUGACGCACACUGAUUUCUUUUUGUCAGAAAUUUUCAGUGACACACACCAAAAACUCAAUAAUGUCUGGGUCUACGCAAACUUUACAUUUGUCCUUACAUUUUUCUGCAUCCUCUAAAGUUUACUUAUGGACCUCACAUUGUUCUUUACGUUUUUCAAAGCUUCUGAAUUUUUGCAUACACUAGUCUUAUAGUCAAAUAGAACAAUCAAGUGUUUUUUUUUAAGUGUCUGGCUAUCUUUGGGGUCACUGCAGGCCAACUUGAAGGUGAACGUGAGCCCCGCUGUGUUGUCUGGUGAGGGCAGAUCGGGAAGCUUACCGUGUGGGGGCUGGAGGAGACCCUGGACCACACCCUGUACAACCGCUCCAUUUCAAAGAUGAGGGAACCACAUCCAGGGAAGGGAUGUGCCCAGAGCCACCGGGCUGUGAGUAGUGAGGCAGAGAAAGGACUCAACCCCAGGUCUGUCUGGGGCCAGAGUUCACACCCCUUCCACUACUCCCCAGUCUGGAGGAGCCUGUGACAUCUCUGGUCUGCAUUGUUGCGCUAGAUGCUCUUCUGAAACGUAGCUGGACACAACUUUAUUCGCCAUGUUCGGACACCGUCUGCCACUUGCACAGCACUUACAGUUGAAACACUUUAAAACGCAUUCUCUCUCCUGAGUUCCUAGCGACUCUGUGGGCUACGGAGGCCAGCAGCACCAAAACUCAGUCCUGCGGUUUUCUCGGCUCCUCUUUCCACAUCAGCACCCUUGUAUAUUCAGGAGGGAAACUGCGGCACCAGCCGUAUCCUGGUGCCUCGUAACUGUGUGCUUCAGGGCAAGUAACUCAAGAGACCCUCAGUUCCCCG